This 468-nucleotide ribosomal RNA is filed under the name uncultured bacterium. RNAcentral describes it as "partial 16S ribosomal RNA". It matches the Rfam family "Bacterial small subunit ribosomal RNA", at positions 28 to 507 of the family's 1533-position model. The record is from RNAcentral.
GGCGAACGCUGGCGGCGUGCUUAACACAUGCAAGUCGAACGGAAAGGCCCUGCUUUUGUGGGGUGCUCGAGUGGCGAACGGGUGAGUAACACGUGAGUAACCUGCCCUUGACUUUGGGAUAACUUCAGGAAACUGGGGCUAAUACCGGAUAGGAGCUCCUGCUGCAUGGUGGGGGUUGGAAAGUUUCGGCGGUUGGGGAUGGACUCGCGGCUUAUCAGCUUGUUGGUGGGGUAGUGGCUUACCAAGGCUUUGACGGGUAGCCGGCCUGAGAGGGUGACCGGCCACAUUGGGACUGAGAUACGGCCCAGACUCCUACGGGAGGCAGCAGUGGGGAAUAUCGCACAAUGGGCGGAAGCCUGAUGCAGCAACGCCGCGUGCGGGAUGACGGCCUUCGGGUUGUAAACCGCUUUCGCCUGUGACGAAGCGUGAGUGACGGUAAUGGGUAAAGAAGCACCGGCUAACUACGUG